Molecule: ribosomal RNA, 486 nt
Filed under: uncultured bacterium
Lineage: Bacteria
Description: bacterial SSU rRNA
Rfam family: Bacterial small subunit ribosomal RNA
Source: RNAcentral
GACGAACGCUGGCGGCGUGCUUAACACAUGCAAGUCGAACGGAAAGGCUCCAGCUUGCUGGAGUACUCGAGUGGCGAACGGGUGAGUAACACGUGGGUAAUCUGCCCUGCACUCUGGGAUAAGCCUGGGAAACUGGGUCUAAUACUGGAUAUGACCUUUCUCCUUAUGGGGUUUGGUGGAAAGUUUUUCGGUGUAGGAUGAGCCCGCGGCCUAUCAGCUUGUUGGUGGGGUGAUGGCCUACCAAGGCGACGACGGGUAGCCGGCCUGAGAGGGUGAUCGGCCACAUUGGGACUGAGAUACGGCCCAGACUCCUACGGGAGGCAGCAGUGGGGAAUAUUGCACAAUGGGCGGAAGCCUGAUGCAGCGACGCCGCGUGAGGGAUGACGGCCUUCGGGUUGUAAACCUCUUUCAGCAGGGACGAAGCGUAAGUGACGGUACCUGCAGAAGAAGCACCGGCUAACUACGUGCCAGCCGCCGCCGUAACAC